RNAcentral lists this ribosomal RNA (508 nucleotides) under uncultured bacterium. RNAcentral's name for it is "bacterial SSU rRNA". It matches the Rfam family "Bacterial small subunit ribosomal RNA", at positions 103 to 627 of the family's 1533-position model. The record is from RNAcentral.
CGGUCGCGUAACACGUAAGCAACCUGCCCUGAAGUGGGGGACAACAUCCCGAAAGGGGUGCUAAUACCGCAUGUGGUCACGAGUCGGCAUCGACUUGUGUCUAAAGAUUUAUCGCUUCAGGAUGGGCUUGCGGCCUAUCAGGUAGUUGGUGGGGUAAUGGCCUACCAAGCCGACGACGGGUAGCUGGUCUGAGAGGACGAUCAGCCGGAUUGGGACUGAGGUACGGCCCAGACUCCUACGGGGGGCAGCAAUUAGGAAUCUUGCGCAAUGGGGGAAACCCUGACGCAGCGACGUCGCGUGAAGGAUGAAGGCCCUCGGGUCGUAAACUUCUUUUGAGUGGGAAGAAAUUUGACGGUACCACUCGAAUAAGCCCCGGCUAACUACGUGCCAGCAGCCGCGGUAAUACGUAGGGGGCGAGCGUUGUCCGAAGUUACUGGGCGUAAAGCGCGCGUAGGCGGUUAUUUAAGUCUGGGGUGAAAGGUUCAGCGCUCAACGUGAACAGUGCCUU